UUUCAUGUCCAUGUCUUCACUUAACACGUACAUUCCACCCUUUGGAUUUUGGGUUGGUUGAGAGGGAAACUUUCCUUUCUCUCUUGAGUUGGGCUCAUCCCAUCCUCUUGACACCUCAGACACAUAACUUAAAAAGUCCAUGGCUUCUUCCGGAUUCUUACUCAUAAAAUCUCCCCCACACAUGGUUUCAAGAAUUUGCUUCAUGGAGGAAGAC
Molecule: long non-coding RNA, 214 nt
Filed under: Vitis vinifera (wine grape)
Lineage: Eukaryota; Viridiplantae; Streptophyta; Magnoliopsida; Vitales; Vitaceae
Description: long non-coding RNA (VVIN_LNC006133)
Source: RNAcentral